GUGAUUGUCAGCUUCCCCUCAGCAACACGCACAUGGUGAUGCACUCAGCAGUUCCCUAAUUAGCAUUUCCAGACACAGUGACCACAUUGCAGUGACACCUACCGAGAUCUUGGUGAAGAUGUAGAGGAUGAGAGACAGGACAGACAUGUACACCUGGAUCCUCUGGCCCCCAAAUCGCUUCUUCAGAUACUGCGGCAUUGUGACCACACCUGCUGCGAUGUACACAGGGACGAAGACCCAGCCAAGGGCCAGGAGCAGCCAGGUUGCCUGGGAGAGUGGGGAGAAGAAGAAGGUAUCCAGGUCCUGGAUGUAGACAGAGGGGCGGCUUCCCACCCAGAGGCAGUGCUGUGCUGUGGGAGGCCCCCGAACAGAGAAAUAAGAGACCUGGGACCUGACCCCAGUCCUCCCGUGUGACCUUGGAUGGAUCCCUCUGUCUCCUCCAGACCUUGAUUUCCUCAUCUGUGAAAUGGAUUCUCAAUUGUGAAAUGGAUUCUCGAUUCACCAUGUAGCCUCCCAGGCAUCUCUAAGGAUCCUCCCAGCACUAAUGCCAGAGACAGAGGUGGGUUAGACCCUCAGUAUUCUGGAGAAACCAGGCCAGCUUCCUUACGUUCCACUCGAAGCCACCUACGGCAAGGCCUCCGGCAGCCCCUGUCCCAGCCAGGCCGAUGAACAAGCCACUGCCCACAUUGCUGGACAUCAGAGAUGCUCCAAUCUGCAAGGCACAGUUGGGUCAAGGGUCAGGAGUCAGGAGUGAUCUGAAUGAAUCUGGAGCGAGGACCAUGAGUAGUGAGGAGCUGAUAUUUGUUGGGUACCCACUGUAUGCCAGGCACUGCAUUCAUAAAUACAUUUAAUUCCACAGAUAUCCGCAGGGAGGGGUAUUAGUCAUCCCAGGUUACAGAGGAAGGAACUAAUGUAAGGAAAGAUGAAUUCAUGGCUCCAGGUCACCCAGUGAGUAAAUGGUGAAGUGGGAAAAAAGGGAAAGUGGGAAGGAAGCCUGGAAGUGGGGAGUGUGGACCUCCGCCCUGAGGCCAUGGGUCUGAGGGCCUCCAAAGGAAGGAAGCUGAAGGGGAUAGGGAAGCCCCACAGGAGGGAAGGAAAGGCCCUCCCACCACCCCAGGGAUAGCCAGGCAGAGGGAGGAGCCGAGGGACUGAGCACAGGCCAGGUCGACCUCUGAGUUAGUUCUCCAGGGGCGCAGCCAAGCACUUGGAGGCAGUAGAGAGCAAUGAUGAUGGUGAGCAUGAUCAGGGCAGUCAGGGCCUGUGCAGCAUCUCCAGGAACCAGCUGGCCUUCUGAGUUUGGGGACUCAUUUAAUCCUCGCCACAACCCUCAGUGCUACUUUUAUCCCCAUCUUACCCAUGAGUGAACUGAGGCACAGAUAGGUAACUUGCCCAAGUCUCAGAACUAGUAAGUGACCAAAUGAGAAUUCAAUCCCUGGCUGUCUGGCUCCAGUAACACUACACAAAUGGUGCUUGCCACUUAAUGAGCACUUGGUCAAUAUUCUCUCUUAUUAUUAGAUGGGAUCUCUGACUGGGAGGGGAGAAGGGGGAGAGGAAGGGGCUCUGGAGCCUGGGAGGAGGCUUAAGGAGACCUCGGGGAGAGGGCUGGGGGCAGCUAGGGGCAGAGCCGUGUUCCUUUUUGUAUACUAUGUCACCACAGUAAAAUCACUUCCUCUA
Homo sapiens (human) is the source of this 1674-nucleotide long non-coding RNA. Lineage: Eukaryota; Metazoa; Chordata; Mammalia; Primates; Hominidae. The record is from Ensembl.